UAUUUUGGCUCGGUACUAAGUUAAUUAUAUAAUCGCAAAUUAUGGAACCAGACAGUUAACCAGUUUUGAAAUUUUAUAAGUUGGGAAACCAAGCAUAAGAGAUUUAUCAACGUGGGACUAAGAAAGUGCCAGCAGUCGCGGUCAUACUUUUUCACGAAGUUAACUAAGCCAGGGAGAUAUACAUCAAAAGCAAAAUAAUUUCUGUAGUGAAAUACAUAAACAAUAUAGACCACCCUAUUGAUCAAUUAUAAACAUCACAUGGAAACAGGGAUUAGAUACCCCUUUAUUAGGUGUCAAUUAUCAUCUCUCGGGGCAUUAAAGUAUUUUACACGCCUAAACCCAAAAGUCAUGGCGGUAACUUUAAUAUUUAGGGGAACUUAUCUAAUAAAUGAUAACCAUCAAGUAUCACUACUUUAGAUUAAAUUUUGUAUGCCGUCGUCGUCAGAUGUAGUAAAAUACUAUAUCGAAAUAAAUUCCUUAAAAAAGACAGAUCAAGGUGCAGACUAUUCUAAAGAUAAGACGAGUUACAAUAGUAUUUACCUUCAAACGUUGUAUUAAAUACAACCACAGGCGGACUUAAAAGUAAAUUAAAUUAUAGAUAAUUAUUGAAUACUGCUAAAGUUGUGCACAAAUCGCCCGUCACUCUCGAAGGUAUUUGAGAUAAGUCGUAACAUAGUAGGGGUAGCGGAAGCUGCCCCU
RNAcentral lists this ribosomal RNA (699 nucleotides) under Cernuella virgata. RNAcentral's name for it is "12S ribosomal RNA". The record is from RNAcentral. Lineage: Eukaryota; Metazoa; Mollusca; Gastropoda; Stylommatophora; Geomitridae.